Molecule: long non-coding RNA, 343 nt
Filed under: Setaria viridis
Lineage: Eukaryota; Viridiplantae; Streptophyta; Magnoliopsida; Poales; Poaceae
Description: long non-coding RNA (SVIR_LNC011114)
Source: RNAcentral
UGAACUGAGUAGACAAUGGAGCAUAUGAUGGGGGUCCCUGAAAAGGAGGUGGUAUGUAACCAUGAAAAGCAUAUGGUGGUGGCGGUAGUGAAUGUGCCAGUUGCUAAAAUUCCGGUCGUGGUUGAUACGCCGGCUACUUAAAGUGUGGUGCAAACGGGCCUUGCGGCCAUGCUUCUACCAAUGUCUCUGGCCAUUGCUCCUACUGCCAUCCUUCAGAAACUCCCUCGUAGCUUGGUGCAUUCUGGAACUCCGUCUGCUAGUAGCUUGAGCUGGGUGGUGGUGGUGGUACUUCUGGAGCUGGUUGCGAAGAUGAGCCUUCUUCAAUUCCUUGCCCUCUUUUGCC